This is a long non-coding RNA of Parambassis ranga (Indian glassy fish), 1314 nucleotides long. The record is from Ensembl. NCBI's taxonomy places the organism in Eukaryota, Metazoa, Chordata, Actinopteri, Ambassidae.
AUGCAGGCAGUGCAGUUGGAGUCUGUCAGCCCAGUCAGAGUCAGGUAUCUGAUCGUUGUCUCCACACUGGGAAACAAGCAAGAGAGCAUCUUGCUUGGCAUGGACUUCCCUACAUCAAACAGUGAUCAGUGCACCAUCGGUCUGGUCAUGCCAGUGUGGAGUGACACACAAGUGUAUCUGGAUGGAGAUGGUGGCUUUAGUGUGACCUCAGCAGAAGAGAGCAGAAUCUUUAAGCCCGUUUCCUUGCAAACCAUGUGGUCAGUGCUGCAGGUGUUACACGGUUGCUGCGAGCGGGCUGUCAAGGCGGCACUGAUUCCAGGCUCUGGGCUGGAAUGGGCCCAGCAUUACCACCAGCACAUAGAGUCAGACCGCCUCUGCCUCAAUGAGUGGGAAGCCAUGAAUGACCUGGAGUCAGUCCGCAGGGACAGUAAUGGACAGAAAGUUUCCAAUGAGCAACUGAUCAAAGAGCACCUGAGAGACAUCAUGAGGACUGAAGACCUGGACAACCUCACAUCUAAGAAGGUGAACGCUGCUUUGAAGAUCAGGAUAGGCUUUGACAUGAGGCCAUAUAAGGAGUACAUUGAUAAUGAGAUCCUAGUUACCAUGGCUCAGAUGGACAAGCCUUCCAAAAUAUUUGAUUACCUUUACCUGGGCUCUGAGUGGAACGCAGCUAACUUUGAGGAGCUGCAAAAAAACAAUGUUGGCUACAUCCUGAAUGUGACAAGGGAGAUUGACAACUUUUUCCCAGAGUCCCUCACUUACAUGAACAUUCGGGUAUACGAUGUGGAAAAAACCGAUCUGCUGUCCCACUGGACAGACACAUACAACUUCAUCAACACCGCAAGGAAGAGUGGACAAGCGGUGUUGGUACACUGUAAGAUGGGUGUGUCUCGCUCUGCAUCCACAGUCAUCGCUUACGCCAUGAAGCAGUAUCACUGGCCACUAGAUGUGGCACUGGCUUAUGUUAGGGAUCGCCGGCCCGUCGUUAAACCCAAUGAGGGCUUCAUGAAGCAGCUGCAGACCUACAGCGGCAUCCUCAGUGCAAGGUCAGGCCUAAAGUUGAUUGUAUUCAUCCAUCAUUUCAGCCAGCAGCGUCACAGCACACUCUGGAGGCGAAAGUCGAGAGACCAAAGACAAAAGUCACUUCACAAGGAGGGAGGAGGGGAAGAAGGAAAGCCAGAGGAGGAGGAGGAGGAGGAAGAUGAGGAAGAUGAGGGGAGCUUUGAAGAUGAGGAAGACGACACUGAGAGUCAAACUGAAAAGGAUGACUCAGAGGAAGACCAUGAGGUAAUGGCGCUGAUAAUUUGUCAUUAG